GCCAGGUAUGGAGUCGUGUGCCUGUGAUCCCACAGCUGGGGAGGCUGAGGCAGGAGAAUCCCAAACUCAAGGCCAGCCUUGGCAACUCAGUGAUUACCUAAGCAACUUAGCGAGACCCUGUCUCUA
Molecule: small RNA, 126 nt
Filed under: Marmota monax (woodchuck)
Lineage: Eukaryota; Metazoa; Chordata; Mammalia; Rodentia; Sciuridae
Source: RNAcentral